This 468-nucleotide ribosomal RNA is filed under the name uncultured bacterium. Its description in RNAcentral is "partial 16S ribosomal RNA". It matches the Rfam family "Bacterial small subunit ribosomal RNA", at positions 28 to 507 of the family's 1533-position model. The record is from RNAcentral.
GACGAACGCUGGCGGCGUGCUUAACACAUGCAAGUCGAACGGAAAGGCCCUGCUUUUGUGGGGUGCUCGAGUGGCGAACGGGUGAGUAACACGUGAGUAACCUGCCCUUGACUUUGGGAUAACUUCAGGAAACUGGGGCUAAUACCGGAUAGGAGCUCCUGCUGCAUGGUGGGGGUUGGAAAGUUUCGGCGGUUGGGGAUGGACUCGCGGCUUAUCAGGUUGUUGGUGGGGUAGUGGCUUACCAAGGCUUUGACGGGUAGCCGGCCUGAGAGGGUGAACAGCGACCUUGGGCCUGCGAGAGGGAGCAGAGUCGUACGGGAGGCAGCAGUGGCGAAUCUUGUACAGUGAUCGGGAGCGUAGUGCAGCAACGCCGCGUUUGGGAUGACGGCCUUUGCGUUGUAAACCGCUUUUGGUUGAGACCCAGCGUUAGUGACGGUAAUGGGUAAAGAAGCACCGGCUAACUACGUG